GAUGAAGAACGUAGCGAAUUGCGAUAAGUAAUGUGAAUUGCAGAUUUUCAGUGAAUCAUCGAAUCUUUGAACGCACAUUGCGCCCCUUGGUAUUCCGGGGGGCAUGCCUGUUCGAGCGUCAUUUCAACCCUCAAGCCCAGCUUGGUAUUGGGCCUCCGCCGGGCGACCGGCGGGCCUUAAAAUCAGUGGCGGCGCCGCUGGGUCCUGAACGUAGUAACAUACCUCUCGUUACAGGGUCCCCGCGCGCGCCCGCCGUUAAACCCCCCCUUUCUAUGGUUGACCUCGGAUCAGGUAGGGAUACCCGCUGAACUUAAGCAUAUCAAUAAGCGGAGGA
This 334-nucleotide unclassified non-coding RNA is filed under the name soil metagenome. RNAcentral describes it as "partial contains 5.8S ribosomal RNA, internal transcribed spacer 2, and large subunit ribosomal RNA". The stretch from base 1 to 121 matches the Rfam family "5.8S ribosomal RNA", at positions 35 to 154 of the family's 154-position model. The record is from RNAcentral.